GUCUACGGCCCUGCCACCCUGAACAUGCCCAAUCUCGACUGAUCUCAGAAGCUAAGCAGGGUCGGGCCUGGUUAGUACUUGGAUGGGAGACCACCUAGGAAUACCAGGUACUGUAGGUA
Molecule: ribosomal RNA, 119 nt
Filed under: Pteropus alecto (black flying fox)
Lineage: Eukaryota; Metazoa; Chordata; Mammalia; Chiroptera; Pteropodidae
Source: RNAcentral